Odocoileus virginianus texanus is the source of this 3130-nucleotide non-coding RNA. The record is from RefSeq and is a predicted model, not a curated record. Lineage: Eukaryota; Metazoa; Chordata; Mammalia; Artiodactyla; Cervidae.
AGAAUCGAACCCACGCCUCCUGCAUCCCCUGCACUGCAAGCUGAUUCUUCACUGCUGAGCCAUCGGGAAAGCCCUUAUUCCAAUUUCAAUUCGUUCAUUGUCAGUGAAUAUUUUUUGAGUGCCUGCCGCCUGCCCUGCCCUCUUCUAAGGUGCUGAGUACAGAAUAGUUGAUAUAAAUGGUUCCUGCCCUGAUGGAGCAUCCCUGCUGGUGUCAGAGGGUGAAGAGGGUAAUGAAAAAAACAGUGACAAAGAAAGACAGGAACAGUGUCCCGCACUAGACGACAGGUGGUUAGUCCCAGGCUCCUGACCGGAAGGUCCCACCCCUGGGGGCCUUCUUCCCAGCACUGCGGUGAGGGUGCUGGUGGGGAGUGGAGGAGUGGGCCUGAAGGAGACAUCUUCCCCUGCUGCCAUGACUACUGGGGCCGCAAAGGAGCUGCUCGGUGCUUGUGACAAAGUAGGCGGUGGGGGGUUGGGGGACACGUCUGUGCUCGCAACAAGUGUCAGCCCUGAGUGCAGGGCUGACCCCAAGUCUGCCCAAGGCCUGUUUCCGUGGGUCAGAGAAGGUCGCCACCGGCCUGGCCCCUUCAGACGACUCGCUGAUUCCCCCGGGGUUAGACGUCUUGGAAGCCGCCGCACCUUCUCUCAGGUUCGGUUAGAAAGUAUCCCUGGAUGCCUGCGGCAAUGUCCUCACCGUGGGGCCGCUGGAAGGACUUAGAAUCCGGGUGUCUUGACUCCCUUCCCUCCGAGGCUCGCGGCUCCUCGAGGGCCGAGCUGUGUUCCUGAGGGCGGCCGGGAACCAACCGUCAGAGGACGGCCGUUAUCGCCAGACAGUUAGCUUGCAAACAGUUCACGCGAGAUUGUUCAUGUGAGACCGAUCACGAGAGACCGCUGGCACGAGACCGGAAGUGGGGUGCGCAGAGGUCGUCUCAGCAGUGGUCAGUCAGGAGGGCGGUGAGAGGAGAAUAGGGCCUCUCCCCAGGACCCUAACUUGGGCCGGCGGGUGAGCUGGAAGCCCGGGGCCAGGCUUGUCCUGCGGGCUCCAGAUUGCCAUGGCCAGUGCCGGACCCCGGCCUUGAGGCAGGGGUGAACCUCUCCCCCACCCCCACCUCCGUGGGUCACAAAGGAGCCUGAGGGUCGGCUGGGUACUGGGCGCCCGGCUCCCUCAGUGAUGAUGGCUGGGCGGGGUCCGGGUGCCUGCUGCUGAGGACUCUGCCUGCUGAGACCUGCCACUUGAUCGGCACCGGGAGAGGAUCCAGACUGGAUGCUAGAUAAACACUCCAGGGCUGGGUAACCGACCCCGUGGGAACCCCCUCCUCUUAGCCAGGACCUGGACCUUGGACCGUGAAAGCGCAGCUUUUGGACCUUGCCCUUACUCGUCAGAACAGAAUAAUAUGUGUUUUAGCGGAGACGUGAAGGAACCUUUGCUACCUGACCAUGACUUGACCUCAAGGACAAAGGCUCUACCACCAAGAAGUUUGCAACUAACCAUGCCCCUCCCUCAGCUUUACUAGAAAAGGGCUUUGCUGAAAGCUUUGGGGAGUCCAGGGUUAUCUGGGCACGAGCCACUGGUCUCACUUCACGGCACUGCAACCUGUCUCUGUUCCAAACUCUGAUGUUUGACAGUUAUUCAGCCUUACCAUGCACUGGGCGUGCAUGUGACACCAGCACACACCAAGCCAGCCACAGACGUUUGCUGAAAUGAAGGAUGCCUUCUCCUGCCUCUUGAUGAAUGGUUCGGUCACUUUCAGAAGUUGCCCAGGGUUCAAAGACCAAUAACAUCCUACUUCUAGAGCUAAGGUGAGGUUUUUUGCAUCUCUUCUCCUGAAUUAAGCUGCUGCUUACACAAUAAACAGCGAUCUGGUGAAAACCUGGAGUCCCCUUUGUUUUAGAAAAGUUCCCUCCUACUUGACCUUGGUUGUCUUGGGAGGUUCAUGUAACUCCCACACGCAUCUAUGCAAGGUCCGAAGCCUGAAAUAAUGCCAUUACUGCUGUAUCAUCCAGUGAGGUCUGGAUCUGGUGGCACCAGUGGGCAAGGAUUUCUGGAAGGAGACAGAUGACUGUGAUGGGGAAAUACAGUAGACUGUGAACUUGAUCUGUGAUGGAAAUGCUUCUGGGCAACAUGGGGCUUCGGAAGCACAGGGAGAUCGUGGAUUGUUGCAAUGAAAGAAAUAUUAUAUAUAAUAUAAACAGAGACUCAAGAAAAUCUACCAUAGAGAUUAGAAGAUGAUAAGCAACCCUGCCUGCCACAUCAGGGAAGACACAGCAGAAACACCAACAAGAUCAGUCAAGGUUUGUGAGUCAAUCCAGUCCAUCUCUUUAAAAAUACCUCAGAAGGACAGACACUGAAAAAGACACUAGUAACACUUUUCACAAAUAUACCCAGUAAUUCUGCAAGAAAGGACUGGCUUUGAAGAAUGAUAUUCAUGAAGACCAGCCCACAAUCAUGGGAAAAAAAGAAAUGUGAUUCUGUGGUACUUCCUACUUUCCACCCAAAAGUAUCUGGCGAGCUUAUCAAAGCUGCUGGUGUUCAUAGGCUGGGAAAGACCACCCUUCUGCCUGCCUAGCACCCCCACUCCCCCAACUCAUGCUGAGCCUCAUUUAUUGGAUAAUUAAACACCGUCCUUUUAGUUUUCUUCAUGAAUGAUCCCCAACACCAGUUUCUAAUGUAAGAUUCUCUUACUGUUCUGAAGAAUCCGUCUGCACACAGGGUGCCAUCAAUAGGGAACGAACCUCUACUUAUGAAUCACCGCUGAGCAGAGUCAUAAUUCUGGGCAUGUCACAGCCUGUGUAGCCAGGAUCUCGGCGUAACUUCACAAUAACCCAUGACAUAAUGCUUAGCGUCUCCACUGACAGAGGAGGAAAUUAGAUGACUUUCUCAGCAACUGGGGGCAGAACUGACCUGGGGCCUGAGUCCCACUCUCAUCAGCCUUGCCUCCCUCUCUUGUGGAAGCUGGUAAACAUGGACCGAUGGAUGGCGUGGAGGGGCAGCAGAGAGAUGCAGACCAUGCAUCCUGUGUGGAGUGUGGUCUUCAUGGUAGAAGGCGUGGAGCUAGGUAUCUGACAAAAAAAUGCCUAGUCUAAAAAGUAACAAUUCCACUUCUUGGAAAUAAAAUUCAAUAAUUUCAUCUGA